AUACGGAGGGUGCAAGCGUUACUCGGAAUCACUGGGCGUAAAGCGCGCGCAGGCGGCUAUUUAAGUUGGGUGUGAAAGCCUACGGCUCAACCGUAGAACUGCAUCCAAAACUAUUUAGCUAGAGUGUGGGAGAGGAAGAUGGAAUUAGUUGUGUAGGGGUAAAAUCCGUAGAGAUAACUAGGAAUACCAAAAGCGAAGGCAAUCUUCUGGAACACUACUGACGCUGAGGCGCGAAAGCGUGGGGAGCAAACGGGAUUAGAAACCCGGGUAGUCC
This 274-nucleotide ribosomal RNA is filed under the name uncultured bacterium. RNAcentral describes it as "partial 16S ribosomal RNA". It matches the Rfam family "Bacterial small subunit ribosomal RNA", at positions 523 to 796 of the family's 1533-position model. The record is from RNAcentral.